RNAcentral lists this ribosomal RNA (464 nucleotides) under uncultured Planctomycetota bacterium. Its description in RNAcentral is "bacterial SSU rRNA". It matches the Rfam family "Bacterial small subunit ribosomal RNA", at positions 365 to 819 of the family's 1533-position model. Lineage: Bacteria; Pseudomonadati; Planctomycetota. The record is from RNAcentral.
UUCGCAAUGCCCGAAAGGGUGACGAAGCGACGCCGCGUGUGGGAAGAAGGCCUUCGGGUUGUAAACCACUGUUAGGAGUUAAGAAAUGUAAGGAUGCUAAUACCAUCCUUACUUGACAAAAGCUCCAGAGGAAGUCACGGCUAACUCUGUGCCAGCAGCCGCGGUAAGACAGAGGUGGCAAGCGUUGUUCGGAAUCAUUGGGCGUAAAGAGCACGUAGGCGGUUUUGCAAGUCUGAUGUGAAAGCCCCUGGCUUAACCAGGGAACUGCAUUAGAUACUACAAGACUUGAGUACAGUAGGGGAGAGCGGAACUUUUAGUGGAGCGGUGAAAUGCGUAGAUAUUAAAAGGAACGCCGGCGGCGAAAGCGGCUCUCUAGGCUGUAACUGACGCUGAGUGUGCGAAAGCUAGGGGAGCAAACGGGAUUAGAUACCCCGGUAGUCCUAGCCGUAAACGAUGGGCACUAA